CCACUUCAGGUGGGCCACUUACUUCAGGAUCAGAGGCUUGGAUGUCAGGUACAGAGCUGCUGUUUCAGUAGGCAGCCUGCAGGUAUGGAUUGGUUGUGAGCCAAGGGCCCCCAAGGAUGGCAGAAGAAAAAGGAUGUGUCGUCCUGCUCGCUGGCAUGGUUUUGUUCCAUAUAUAUAGCAGUCCAGUGGGAGGUAGACAAGCUUAGGUCACAACAAUUUCGGGUGGUUGGUUACGAAGGGGAGGCUGUGCUGGAAGGCUGCUGCUCACAGCUGUGGUCUAAAGCAAAAGUGAGAAGGGAAUGAAGAGCUUAGCUAGAGCUCAGAGUUACCUAGAACUCAAAGUUCUUGGGCAGCCUGCAUGCCAGACUGCCUGCAUGCUCAGGAGCAGGAGGCUGCGAGGAUGGUGGGAAGACCAGUAUAUUCGGUAGGCAUUUGAUGGCCCUCCAGAGUUCCCAUAUCAUACUCUUUGGUAGCGAGUCAUGGACCGACUGCAGGAAGGAAGGUAGGUGAAGGUCAGCUUGACUCUUCUAGCAGCUUUCAUGCACCUCUGGUUAUCAGAUGAUCUCAUGCUCACCAGUGUGAGAAGAGGGUAUGUGGCGUGGGAGCAGACUCUAUAAAGUCUCCCAGGAAGAGAAGUUUAGACACAAAGAGCUUUUUUUUUAUAUGGUUUUAUUUAUUUCAGUGUGCACAAGACCAUGUCCAUCUGAUGUUAAUGGUGGCAAGGUUGAAGGAGCUUGCAUUACAGCUGGGAAAACUUCCAUGAGUUUCAGACCUGCGUUGUAGCUGAAAAUUAGACAGCUUGGGUUUUGCCAGCAUGCAGUUCUCCUGGCCACACUCACAUGCUGCUCUGACACUGACUGCUACUGAGAUUUGUCUCUUAGAGGAGUAUCUGGCUUUGUUUCCUGCAGAGAAAAUGGUAGUUUGAACUUUUCUCACUCAAGAAAGCAUCACUGAGUCAAGGGCUUUCUAUCCUCAAUUCAGUAGACUUCAGGGCUUGAGCUGUGCGAAAUGGCGAGAGCACGUCAUCCGCACGUCUCUGAGUAAGAUACGUCUUUCCCGUUGGACACACGGCGAAGCCCUGUCCAUGAAGGACAAAGCGAGACAGAACAAGAUGUGUUCCUUGGCAUUCCAGGUACCUGCCCCUAAACUCUAAAAUAAAAACUAAAUGAAAAUCUGAAUAAAAAUUUCCCCAGGAGAUACAAGAUCGUAGAGGCCUAACUAUCACUGCAUGAAAACUUCUUGAAACGCUCAAUACAAAAGCUUCCACGUUGUCUUUGCAAGAAUGUUUCUGGUGUGAGAAACUGGAAGAAAUCAGUGUUGUUUAUCAAAAUGAGUAAGCAAAGGGCACGCUUGCAGCAAAUGGCACUGCUGUUCUGUGCACCCUCUGGUAAUUUUGCCUAAUCCUACUGAAUGAGUUUUUCAUGCAUAUAUAUGUAUGUGUAUGCGUAUCUGUCAUGAGUAAAAUAGAUUGUAUCCUCAGCUGACAGGCUGUGUGUGACAGAUUACAGCAGGGCUUAGGGAAAGAAAUUCAUGACCCACACUAAGUGUGGAGUUGUAGGACUUCCCUCCAGAGCCUGUCGGCCGCAAUAGCAGUCGCACCACCUCCCCACACCGGUAGCGGUGCCGGUUUGGGGUCCCUCUCCUCCUCCUACCCCUGCUAGGGGUGACUGAAGAUGCAGCAGAGGGGAUGAUGAGAAGGGGUUUCUUUCUUUGGGGUGCAAAUACAGGGUGAAAACUGGGCGAGCGAAGGAGCGCCCUGGGUCACGCCAGCCCUGCAGUGAGGCCGUGCCGCAGGAUGGAGAGGGGUGAGUGGACAGGGCUGGCGGGCUUGCUGCCGAAGGGGUGAAAUGCCCCCAUGGGGGGCCUGAGGAUGUGUGCUGAGGGAGGGCGGGGGGCUCUGCAGAUACCCCUGCAGACCCCGCAGCACCGCCAUGCAGAUGGCAGCCUCUCACCUGGCUCUGCGUUGCAGGGGCUUAUUCCUCAGUGGGCACUGAGCAGCGCUGACCGAAAUCAUAGCUGGAGGCCCGGCAGAAAGUCUCCAUCGGUGCAGCGGGCACUGCCUGGCCCCCUGGCUGCUCCGGCCCCUGGACAGGGACCCCCAGGCAGGCAGGGGAGGGGGCACAGCCUCAUCUCCCCACUUUACCCCCGCAGGGACCCCUGAGGGAGCAGCCGUGCCACCCCCCCAGGCCCCACGGGGUGUUGGGGGACCCCCAGCAGCGAGCAGCCCCGGGUUGGCCGCUCCUUCGCUAGACCUGCCUCUGCAGAGGUGUUUGCAGCCAUUGGCACAGGCGCUGCGGAGCCGGUUGCCUGGCAGCAGGAACGCGUCCUCUUCCCCAUGACAAACAUCAUCUCCAUCGACCCAGGCCACCUCCUGUUUCAAAUGUCUGCCCAAGCUGAAAAGCCCAGCGAGGGAAAACGCAGCUCACCGGAAUGAGCUGGGUGAGCCCCGUUUCAUCAUUCUGGUGAUGCAGGGACCCUUGCGCUAAGUGGCUGCCCACAGGUGAAUUCAUCCAGCACCAUAAGCAAAAUGCUGCUGUGCUCGGCAAUUCAGCCUGGAUUAGCACUAAAAGAACAAGCUCCCUUAAAGAAACAUGCUAAUUAGAGAGUAUGAAUAUUCAGCUUUCUGCAAAACUGUCAGAGGAAAACUAAUUGUGAAGCUAAGCCCAAGGUCUGCCUUCUUGCGUCUGGGUCUUUGGUCCCUGCUGAAAACAGGCUGAUGGGUUUGAUGUGCCGGAAGAAGGCAAAGCGUUGUGUCUGAGAGCGCAGAGUUGCUCCAGGUCUCUGUGGCUUCUAAAGCAUGUGCAGUGUGUUUAUCUGCUCCCAGCUUGGCACUCAGCCUCCGAGCUUGGUGCUGCAUCCAGCCACUGUGCUGUAGUAACUCAGAUGCUGAGUAUUGCAGCGAUCACAGGAUUAUGAAUUUGAGAGAAAUAAAAAUUAGCAACUUCAGAGUUAGACGUCUUUCUUAAAAGAAAGAAAACCAUUAUGAGUGAGUCAGGCGCAUUCCCCACCAGCAGCCUACUGAAGAGAGCCAUCUUCUGCAGAGAGGUGGAGGACAGGAGGGUGCCUGAUGAGUCCAGCAAGGGUGAGGGCACAGGCUAGGAAUGGAAGGGACAGACUUGUGCAGCCACAGAGCAGCUAUGGUCAGCGUGCCAGUGCCGUGCAGGGAGCGCACGGGAGAAGGAGCCAGAGGGCUCUGCCCGGGGGGGUUGCGCUGUACUGCAGGGAUGUAGACUGGGGCUGCUCAGGCUCUGGGAGAAGCUGGGUUUGACAGAAAUGCAAAGGUGCCCUGCUCUGCUGAGCUCCACAGCACUGCAGCUGACCCUGCGUUGCGAGGUAGGGGGUGUCUCUAUGCUGGGGUGCAGUUGCUUGUAUUGUGAGACCCUCUCUUCCUGCCUACAGGAAAGCUGAAAUCAGUGUGGUCUACCAGGAGUUUUCUCAGUGUACUUUGAAACAUGAGAUUUGUUUCAAGGAGGCUCAAGCUACAUGAAAGCGGGCACACCAGGUGCAGAGGCAGCUCUUUUCUGACUGUGACUGCUUGCCAUGACGUGGGAAUGACCAUCAUGCCAUCGAGGAGCUGCAGCUCCAUCCUUGGCAACACCAGCAUCAGCCCUCCCCACCUCGGGCAGUGGCGAUGGCUCAAGGGAGCCAAAGCAGAGAGGCAGAGACAAGGUGGAGGGCAGUGUGGCAGCUUGUCCGUUUUCAGGUGAAGAAGGAAAUCUCUGGUGGGUGCUGCAUGAGGGGAGCUGUGCCACAGCAGGCAGGGGCAUAGCUGUGGGAGGAGGCCGGGGAAGAAGGGCUGCGGUUUAAUCGCCAGCCCCGGUUCUAUCAGCAAAUACAAGGACAAGCUGUCGCUGGUGUGGAAGGUAGCAGAUGGCCUAAUUGUGAGAUUCUCCCUUGCAAGAGCAAAACGAUGUACCGUUUUUAACAUCUUUGCCUAGAGCUGAGUGCUAACUUCAGAUGCUACCAAGAUACACUGUACAGAGGCACUCUGUGCCAGAAAUGUGCUCUAAGGAUAAUCAGGAGAAAACUGUGCUUGAAGUGACAUUUAAAAAAUAAUUAUUAUGUCCCAUUGCUGUUAGUCACACAUCCCAAAAGCUGAUCUGGCUAACAGAGCUUUCCAAAGCAUCUCCUGCUCGACAUAUCAUCUGGAAAUUAUGCCAUCAUUGUGUCACUGUGUCUCGCCUCGUAAUCACCAGGACAUUGUGUAUGUACACACACUGUUUCUUCCCCAUUUCUUGGAGAAAAUAAUUCUGUCUCCUGAUUUUUCUCAUGCUGCUUCAGCUGGCUUCGUGCAGAUUCUUGCCUUGGCCAUUUGCUGGAGGGCACAGGCCUUACCUUCCCAGAGACAGCUACAAAGCAUUGCCACCUUGUCUCCUUGUGCGAAGCCUCAGGCAGCACCACUGCUGUGAAGGUCCAAGGUGCCUUGGAACAGCUCAACACUCUGCAAAACUCCAGGCCUGUAGCAGAGACAGCAGAGCUCACCAGCGUCACACUAAUAUCAGGUGCUUGAAACUUUAUAUUGAAGGUGCAGGGUCGUUACUGGUGAGUUGUUAUGGCAGGUGCAUUUUGUCAGCUCCAGCUCUGAUGUGAGGACAGGGGAGAGUGCAGCGCCUCUCUCAGCUGGGUCAGCUUUUCAGAGAAAACUCUGGUAAGGACCUCACUGGGAGAGAAAACUUCGACUAACCUGUAGAUCUGCUUACUAUUACUUAUCAGUAAGCGCAAAACUCAUGCCAAGGAUCAGCUUGGUCUGAAUCAAGUGAAUACUCCAUUUGAGGGUAACAGCCCUUUUCUUGUUGACUUUUUGCAGCCCACUGGAUAUGUCUUUAAGGACUUUCACCUGCCGAGUAUACCAUGUGCUGUCUCUCUUCCUGCUAGUCCUUUAAACUUCACCAUGUUUGUUGGGGGUUUUUUUUGGUAAUAAAAGGGCUUUAAUGGCUUAUCUGUAAGCUUUGUCUCCUACAGUAUUCGGACGUAUUGAAUCUUCUUUGAAUCUACCUUUACCUUACUGUCCAUCUUCAAAAGACCCUUACCCAUGCAGCAGAUGUCUAUGCUGCAACAGUCUGUCCACUUUCCCCUCCCCUCCUCUACUUUCUUCCCCGCAGUUUGCUCAGGAGUCUCCUGCUUAAAAUCUCACAGCUGUGACACACCAGCCCAUCUCUCUCAAAUCCUGCUGAUUGCAUGUCUCAGCUUUUUAUUUUCCCUUUCAAGGCCCUCCAUAAUGUUAGUUUACCUUUAAUCUCAUUCCUCUCACUCCUCCUGCCUGUAUUCUCCCAGUCAUCCCUCCUUUCUGCUAUUUUAACUUGUUCUUGGAUGGUUCAAUCCUGCUUUUUUCUUCACCCUCCUCUGACACCUCAAUCCACCUCCCAUUUUCUGUUAGCCAAACAUUUGUCCUCUCAUUCUGUCACCUCCACCUUAAAUCCCUAUCUUUUUCUUCCUUGCUAGCACUAACACCCCACACGCGCUCAUGCAGAGUCAUCUGAGUUGUUGUCCCAUGUGGUUUUCCUGGAGUGCAUGUUAUUCACACCAGGAAUUUGUGGUUCUCCUAUAGUGCACACACCCCAGUUACAAACACACGAGGGUCUUUUGAAGAGCAGCAGCCGCUGGUAAGUAACCAUUCAUUAUUAAUCCUCUUGCUUAUAUGAUACACAGAAAAUGCUAAACUUUGUCUAGCUGGGUAAUAAGAGGAAUCUUUUCUAUUUUGAUGAUGUGAAGGCCCACUUUGGAUGCUCUAGAUAGGUAAAUGUAUAAAAAUGGAUGUUAUUUAAACUUACAGUGACUUAAACUUCCUCUAGGCAGCAAAGCCAUUCAAGGAACAUAAGUAAGAAGCUUGCUACGAGAAGAGGUUUUGGGUCUCACUUCACUGUGCUGCCUUGCACUACCACGUCAUCACUGGCCACGUUCAAGUUGCCUUUAACAUCUUUACAUUCCUGCACAUGACAAACAAUAGGGACUAGCUCCCAUACAGCAGAGGAAAUAUAGCAGCAAGUGUCUCACGUCCAUUUCUCAACUGUCAUCAAAUAGCUUUUAUUCAUGGCAUAGCACAAGUGUCAGCCAACUGGCAAAAGCAGCCUAUAUUAAAAAUGUUGGGGAUUAUUCAUGUCAACAGACACAAGGGAGCUUUUCUCAGUCAGUGGUCUGAAAAUGCAGCAGGUUCUCUAGAGUAAUCUCAAAUCUGAAUAACUGCAGAAGGAGGCCAACAGCUGACUGUCACUUCCAAGUACAAUUAAAAAAUUCAUCUAGCACAAUUGGAUAAGAGCUUGGAUAGGUGAGUGUUUUAACUGUGUGGAUAGCUAGAAAAGGCUAUACCGUAAGGAUGUUAUGUAGAAAGAAUAAGAUGAUAUUUUUUUAAAAAUGCUCAGAUCGAAGUUGGUUUGCAGGUUGUGAGCUGGUGGUGGCUUCUCAGGUUUGCUUCUGAUUACAUAAUUAGCUGAUAGGUCCUUGGCCUGUUUGAUUGCAGCCAUUUACUGUGCUAUACAGAAUAUGAUUUCCAUUGGCCGCGUAGUUUGUCUUUUGUGGACAAGAUGCGAUUUAGAAAUGGAUUAAUUCUUUCUCCUCUUAAAAGGUGAUUUAAAAAAAAAAUCCCCAUUUAACUGAAAAUACCUUUUAUUAAAUUUGUGAGGAUAAUAAUAGAAAAAAAGAAUAAGCUGGACACAAGCAGUAAAAUUGCUUACCUUAAAAACAUCAAGUAAAGAUGGAAAAUAAUGGAGGUUUCAGAUAUCUAAGGUUAACAGUUAGAGGCAAUUCCCUAACCAGUUAUUUCAGUCCUACUGUAUUUGCAGAAGUCUAUUGUAUUCUGUCAUCUUGCAUUUUUCAUUUGUUGCUUUUAAAACGUAUGGCCUGCUUCUUUUCCCCGUCAAUUAUUUUUGACUAGUUUAAUUCCCUGAACUCAGUGAUGUUAUGGAUAUGAAAUCAGGAGCAGUUUAAGUGGAAAAUAAAAAAUUAAGACCCAUGCAAGUUAUCAUGAAUAAGGUGACCUGAUCUUCUCUGACACAGAUCUAUGUUCCACUUAUGCUCUGGAAAACUUUGGAUACUAUAUUUUCAUCAAAACCUAAUUUCUGUACAAAUAUGUGAUACAGAAGAAACCCAACCGACAAAACCCUCAGACGUAUCCCAUGGCAUCUCCAUGACAACAUAUAGAUGCAGUCUGCUAUAUAUGUCAUUAUCAGGAGACUAACUGCUCCAAGAUUUUUCCCACAUUGAGCUGAAAGGCAGACCGACCAACGGGGUAGCUGGCUGCAGAGGAUGUUGCUGGGAUUUAAAUGUGGAAACUGCAGCUCGUGAUUGAUGCUGCGUAAACCAGAGGCUGAUGGAGCAGCCUUACCGAGGGGGUCAGCCCUGUACCACAGCUUCCCUGGCUGAGGCUGCUUGGUCAGGUGGAAGAACAGGCACCGGCAGGUUCUCCACCGGGUCGGAAAAGUCACACGGAGCACCUUUGCAGGGUUCUCUAAGUCUUCCUGAAAGGCCGUUAGUUACCAGCAGAGUGAGAUAAGAACAGAAGGUAAUUUGCGUUAAUAAAUUAUCCUGAGAGGUGUCUUUCUCCCCUGCACAUGUAGAAGGAAAGAGAGAGUGACCCUGCCCUCUCUCCCUGGUGGAGAACUCCGAAACCUGUGGCAAGAGGUGUGCUCCCCACGCCCUGGCAGUGUGCAGGGAACCAAGGUCAGCAAGCCAGGCCAGCGGCACGUGCAGCCAGGGCUUUUCCCAGAUGGAUGAUCCAUUCCUCACAGGUAAAGGAUCAGGCUAGGACCAAGAAAAGGAACCUGCCACUCACUCUGUGUGUGUGGUUAUUUCCCCUUUCAUAAUCCCCAGUGUUUGUUGCACUGGAUUUAAUUGUUCCGUAUGUUUCAUGUUAAACGAUGCCUUGUCAUUUACUUGCUUCCCAGAGCAGUUGGGAGCAGGACCUCAGGUGGAUGAGCAGUCCCGUGGGGUCAGGAGACUGGCUUUCUUCUUUGGGCCACCCUGCAGAGGGACUGACCCCGUACAGCUGCCAGUGGCGCGCCGGGUCUGCCUUAGGCACUGGUGCUGCAUUGCGCCAGCUCCCAGGAGUUUCAGAAGCAUGGUAAGGAUGCACCCGCUGGGAUAGCUGAACAAUGAUCAAUUCAGUACAUCCCCCGCUCCCGCCUUUCCUCCUAACCUGUCCUUUCCUCAGCUCCUUCCCCCAGCGCUGGUGUGGUUUACAGGACUUCAUUGAAGGGUGAGCGGCCCUGCCUGUGCAGCGGCGCCCGGGCACGCGCGGCCGCUCCUGCGGAGCAGCUGAAGUGCUGUAAUUUCAUACUCCAGCUGACGGUGCAGGAACUUGUUCAUCUGCCUGUGCCCUAGUGCAGACACGGUCCUGGCCGCCAUAGGCAGGCUCAGUGCGGUCGGUGGCGCUGAGUUAGUGUUUGCAGUGGUUAGGAAACAUUGCUGCUGGAAACAGGGCUGCGUGUGUAACUGCCCGAGUAAAGCAACGCUGGCCUUUUUAUACUUGUUUCUGACUUCUGGACUGGGGAGGUCUUCUUCAUUCCUGCACCUCUCUAAGGCACCUUAGGCACCUUACCCCGACUCUCUGCUGCUCGUCUUUCCUUUCUGAGAAAUGGAGAGAACAAUAUUUACCAUUCUGGUAGAGCACUUUCUCAUCUGUUUCGUGAGACGUGCUACUUAAAAGGUGAUUGUUAGGUUUUGUCCAGCUAUAAAAAGUCCUCAGCUUCACAGCAGGGCACAGUAUGUUAUCAGCCAUAAAACCCCCCUUACACUGAUCUUCAGCAUUUAGGGAUAGACCUUUGUUCAGCUUAGUUACUCAUACUCUUUGGAGUGGCGCGGCCUGCAUUUGGUUUCUUUUUUGCUACUCUCUGUGUAUGUAUUGUGUACAUAUGGUUGGCUUUUGCUUCUAUUAGGGCCAAAGAUCAUUUGGUUUAGCUUAACAUACAGAUGUCAGUUGGCAUCAGAUGAGUGACUUGGCCUUUGAUCUGCUGUUCAGCACAUUUCCUCUGAAAUAUAAGGGAAAUUAGUUUGCCAACAAAUAAGAAACAACUGAACCAAAAAGGACAAAAAGAAGGACUAUGACCCCAAGAAAUAAUCUGCCUUUCCUUCAGCAUACACUCUAUGGUUGUUUUAUGCUGACAGCCAAAGCCUGCCCAUUCGCUGCAGAUAGCCUUUUCCUUUACCAUAAUAACACAUUUCCUUCUGUGUAGCAUCUGAAGAAGAAACUACAUUCAUUUUUUGUCCAUAGGGCAGCUGGAAGCUUUGUCUCCAGCCUGGACAGCACAGUGCAAGGGUGGCAGUGGUUACAGUGGAGUGCCCAAGUUCAUGGCAGAUGGCAUGGCAGAACCAAGAGGCAGGUUCCUAUUUAGAGCAUUUCCACUGCAAUAUCUAGCUACGCAUGUCAGGGAGGUGUAGACAGACAAAAAGCCAUCACAGAUAAUAAUCGUUCAAAGUCAAGAUAAUAGCAGGAGCAGCAAAGUCAAGCCCCAAAUAGUUCCCCGUGGCCUAAUACCUCUUAUUUUGAAAAGCAGUGUCUGGAAAUGACAGUGGAGUGUACAAAGCAUGGGGAGCUCCUGGUGCUGGGCUGGAUGAUCCUGGAGCCUCAGCUCUCUGGGUACAGCCUCAGCAAGCGGCAGUACCGCUGGGACAGUGUUUACAACAACGAUGACUGAGUUUAGGGUGUUUCAGAAAGGAUUCAGUAUAUUCUGCCAGCUUGGGCUGAUGUUCCUGAUGGAUGCCGACGAUUCAGUUGAGAACAGAAUAAUUAACCAUUCUUUCACUUACAGAUAACUGAAACAAUUGGAGCUGGGCAGGCUUCCCAUAAGGCUCUUCAGGAAUCCGAGCUGAGCAGCAGGGUGGCUUGGCCAGGGGCUAAUCUACCCACUAAGGUGGAGAUCAACUUGAAGGCAGCAAGUUCCUUGGAAGAUAGAAGAGAAGAAAUGGAACAGAAAGCCUAGAAGGCUUUCCUAGAAGGCUUAAGCUUUCACCUUAUGCUGUCAUCAGAGCUAGCAAGUCUUAUUCUGGUUCCCAGUCUUACUGUCCAGUUGUACCUUCUUCAGCCUGAAAACAACCUCCUGUGCAAGUUGAUUGGCUUCCCAUCCUCAAGGUGAUGAGUUUAAAACCCCACAGUCUUUGGAAAACUAAGAUAAAACUUAAGCUCUCAGGAAUGGACAUGUGAAAAUCCUGGGAAAAGAAUUUUGGAGAGCUUUUGACCAAUGAAAUUUAGCAUAAUAAAAAUCCUUAGAACAGUUUAGCUUUUGCAUGGUAAUUACAUGCACUGAGAGUCAAUGAGGAUGUGCAAUAAAUGCUAUUAGUUUCUAUGUGUGAUAUGAAUAAUCAUCUUUAUCAACAUUACAGAAUGGGGAAGAAGACAAAAAGCAGAUAUUGUAGAUAUGUUGGUGAUAAUGGACUGUUCAUAAUGGGAACGUUUUUAUGUGUUCCAUGUAGUAAUAUGUAAAUAUUUCAGUUGAGCAGAUUUUUAGGUCAUAUAUAGUUUUAUUAAGAUCUAUAAAAAGAUCAAGAAUCAUAUUUGCAGAAAAGCAGCAGAGUUGAGUGUAGUGCAGAUGAGAGGCAACACUGGUCCCUGUGACAUCUUCAAGCGUCUUGAGCCUGAAAGUUACAGCUAGCCAGGUGCCACAUGGAAUCACAGGGCAACUGUAUACUCCCUAUCCACUACAGUGCUUUAUUGUUAAUUAUUAUUAUUCAGACACUAUGCUGCCUGCAGUUUGUAGAUACUGAAAGAAUUUUAAGAGGGACAUAGUCAGAAUUUCUCAGCAUAAGUCCAGGAGCCAAACAUUUCACCUCUAACAGAGACUUGCUUCAUGGCUUCAGACAAAAUAUCCACUCUACCUUCAUUCUCUCUGUAAACGAGGGCUAGGAUUUGUGUCUCAUGGGAUAUUGUGAGAUUAAUUUUUUUCUGGUAUGCAUAAACUGUUUUGAAGGUGGAAAGAUCCAAGUUUUAUUUCACAACAGCCUUGCAGUUACAGUACAAAUGGAGCAGACCCCGUCUCUCUUCAGAAAGGGACAAACAGCUUGGAACUCGGCAAGUACUCUAGCCAGCUAGAACAAAUACAAUUUUGCAGUCCAUUGAUUUCCAUUUACAAUGCCAAGUUUUAUUUGAUUUAUUUUUUUUAAUAUCUAUGUGCCACAACACUAACUUCCUUUUUUUUUUUUGCUGUUUUUUAAAUGAAGUGUCACUGGCAUGUGAUUAGCCUAGAGAUAUUUUGGAUAAGUUAAGACAAAGGAUCAGCAGGCAAACAAACCAGAGCCAUUUAGGACAGUGUUGAUGAUGCAGCCCAAAAUUGUUUCCUCCUUAUGUGAGAGAGUUUAGGACUUCUGAGCAUAGCUGCAUGGACUAUGUAGGAGGACCUCACACAUAUGUAGUUAGAGCCAGAGUUAAACGUCUGCAUCCUAGGUGGUGUUUAAUGACUUUUAAUAAAGAAUGGCAGCAGAUGUAUGAAUGCUAUUUGGGAAAAAUUCUGUCCUCUGGUGUGACUCUCCCUGUACUCCCUUAGCACUAUGUGAUUCCCAGCAGAGUACUGCAAGGCAUCCAGCCAGAAUCUUCCUAGUGUUGAAAGGCUGAUGCUGGGAGUGGGUCCAAGCGUGGGGUCCUCUCCACAGAGUCUGAUUUCGGGCUGUUUCACCAACUGGACAUGCACCCUUCCACCUUUCCUUUACCUGGUGUACAGGUCACUGACUGUGACCAUGAUUAAAUAGUGCCUGCUGUUACUGAAUGAGCAGAGGAGUCUCAGGCAGAGUGGUACAGGUGCCAUCGUCUUUCUUGCCUAAUGACAGUGGGCUAUCACUGCAGCCCACUGGCUGGGGAGGGAAGAGAGAGAAGGAGGGAGUAGCUACUAUCAAGAGGAGCCAUGCAUUGAUACCCUCUAAACUGCUGGAAGAAGAAAAGUUGUUGCUGAUAAUAGAAAGUACACACGAUACCUUGGGCUUGCAAAGAGAAUCGGUGAUUAAAUAUGGGGAAACGUGCAUUGUCAUUGCUCCCACCCACGGGUGCUUAUGGGUAAAUGGAAGAUCGGCCUGUCAGGCUGUCAGCUUCUAUGAGCCCUAACUUCCCCAUGAAAGGGAGAUGGCCAUCUUCCCAACAAUGGCCCCAGCUCGUUCGGUUACAGCCAGUCAAGUCCAAUGACAUCAAAUAUUAAUCUGGCACAGAACUUGGGCUGUCCAAGUGCAUUUUAUAACCAACAGCAUAUCAAAGCUUUUGGACCGGAUGACAAUCGCUCCUUUGUUGUUACAUCAGUCAGUCACUUUAACCCAGAUUCUCAGUCAAUUCAAAGGAAAGAAAAUGGUGCUUCAGCGAACUGACUGCUGCAAAAGGACUUUUAAAAAAAAUUAACAGAAGGAAGGCAGGGCUGAAACUUAUUACAAAAGAUCCCACCAUAAAAUCAGGAAAACGUACAAGGAGCCUUAGAUGACCUCACAGCAAGAGGCUGUAUUGCUGUUCUGUGUACAGUUUCUCUGCAGGGGCAGAUCUCAGAUCAUCCUGAAUCUAGUCUUUGGGCUUGCAGUUAGUUAGAGGCUUGGGCCUGAUCUGUUUGCCUAAGAGCAUUUAUACUCCUUUUAUAACAGAAUUUCUGUCUGCAUAACAGAAAUUUCUAGCACUAUGAAAGCAGACAAACUUCAGAAAUCAGUUUUCCCAGGUGGAGUGUGCAAAGGCAGAUCCAAGGCACCGGUUUCUUCCAGUUGUUGUCUGACCACAGCCGCCUGUAAUCUGGCUGGCAGAUGCCAGCUUGACUCUGUGUCAAGCAGCUCCUGUCUAUGUUUUCUCUAGCAUCCAGCACUGGCAUGACACUUUGGUCCACCUCUGGGUUUGCCUGCUGAAUGUGCGAGGAAAAAACUGUUAAGACUGUUAGCAGAGGGCUGAGCGUACAAGCAUAGCACAUUAACAAAACCACUCCAAUUAGCUGGAGGGGGGAGACAAAAAUGACAAGAAUUUUGCUUCUCUCUGCACAAAACUAGAGCCAGUGAGAAAAAAUUAUCAUUUGACUCUAAAUUAUUCAAAGGAAGCAAAGAAAUAAAAUAUAGUCUAAAGAAGAAUUCUUCCUAAUAACUAACUAAAAGUCAAAGCACAUUAACAUGUGAGGACUGGAAGAUCUGGAGAAAGAGCUGGAAGGAAACUGCAUGCCUGUAGUCUUGGAGGAAAAUGUAGGAACUUAAUUUAGUGAUAUUCGUGCCUCAAGAAAGAGAAAGUUUCUACACUGUGUUGGCACCAAUCCCGACCUUAUCGUGUGCAGAAUAGAUGGCUCAAGGAACAGGUGAGGAGUAAAAAGAGGCAGUUUAAAUGUUCAGAGGGAUUCUGCCAUUUAGGUUUUUUUCAGAAGGCGUUUCUGAGUGGGCUGGAGUGGGAGAAAGGGUUGGAAGGCCAGCGUGACUGCUCUCAUCUGCAGUCACCUAUUAAAUGAUGCUUAGAGGCAUAAGCUACCCCAGCUAUGGAAAAUCAUGUACUUCAGGGUAUUUUCUUUAAGAGAUCAGAAUGAGUGCUUUCAGUUGUCUUCCAAGUCCUUGGAAACCUGGUAAGAACCUUUGAUAUUUCCAAAGUUGUGUACAAGUAUCUGAGUUUAAUCUGUUUAUUUUUAACAACAAAAAGUCAGCAAAUAAAGAAAAAAUAGACCCAAGCAUGUUGCUUAAGGAUAUGUCAGAAAACUCAUGAAUUCAUGUGAAAAGCUACUUCUGUGGCAAUGGAGUGCAAAAUUCAAAUACACUGCUAAAGCUUAAAAGUAAUCACUGUCUGGAAGGCUUGAUAAUCUUGUGUCUGUUCUAGCAAAUGUUUGAACACUCAUGUGCGUGUACACACAUGCAUGGGCCAUCAUAGCUGCUAGUUCCCCUUGGGGCAGCUUCAGCUGCGAGGACAAAGGCAAAAUAAGCGCAGGGAUGGGGAGACCCAAUCCUUGGUAUUUGCAUUACCGGAGUUUGCAGUAUAGUAGUCAAUGCAGCAGUUAUUCUGCAAAUGGAGAGCUCUGGUCUAGUGCUGUCAGUCUCACACCCACUGUUCGGGAACACCUACAUUCCCUUUAAAAAUAAAAUUGUAAGAGCUCUGAAUACAAAUGUGUGAAAGUUUUACUAUUUAAAGGGAUCUUCUGGAGAAACUAUGUCAAAUGUGUAGCUCUUUCUAAAAUGCCAGUGGCACCCAGGAUUACUUGUUCUGGAACCGCUGCUUUCUGCAGCCAGCCAGUAGAUGGAUGAAGCUCACAUCCCGUGUGGAGCUACCCCUUCUCCCAACCACCCGCCUCCUGCCAUGCUCCACUUUGCUACUGCUUAGGCAAAAGCAUUUCCCAAAGUUGGAGAAGGACUGGAAAUCGCAUGGGUUUCCAGCUGGCAGCCUUAGCAGUUGUCCUGAGUCAUCAAAGCCAGUGGCCCGGGAUGAGCGGUGGGAGGUGCGGGAGGCAUGCAAGCUGCCUCCGAGUGAUGCUCCAGAAAGGGAGAAGCAGCCGGAGGGAGCGUGCUGUUGGCAAAUACCACCCACACGGGCAGCACAGCUUUCUGAAGCUCUUCUAGCUUCAGACAGGUUGCGGCACAUGGCACGUUGUGAGGGUUGUGGAGGUGCAGGGGGAGCAGAGGGAGGUCAGGAUGAUGCAGGAUUCCAGCACAGGCACUAUGCCAGGUCGGUAGUGCCCCAUUCAGAGGUUCAGGCGCUCCUUCACCCAUCUAUCUGCUCUAUAUACGUUGGCCAGUUUUAGUGGGCAUUUGCACCGUUCUCAGCUUCCUGAAGAAGUGAGAUGCCUUCCACUUAGGCAUUACUGUUAUUUAAGAUGGAAAGCAGGGCAUUUGCACAGGAAUGGAGGCAUCGAAUCUGAUAUCCCCUUUGCCAGGUAAGCCAAUAGCAUGAAUGGGAUGUUCACCCAGUUGCAAGGCAUUCAGUAUUUCUGCUCUGACCUACACCAGCUCUGAGCUAUUGUCAGAAGAACCAUUAGCUGCUUACAUCAAGACAUUAAGCCAAAUCCUGGCUCCAGUGAGGUCAGUCAUAAAACUCAAAAUUGUUUUCAGUGGCAAUAGAAAUUCAUCUCCUAGACAGUGGUCAGGAGGGAGGAGUCAGAUGGCGGUUUGCUGUUGCCUAACGGUGCAAAUUUAAGUUCAAUUCACUCAAGUUUCAGGACAUACUGGAAUUCUGUGUGUGAGCGUGUGUACAGAACAGAGGCAUGGUAGUUACGGCACUAGGAGACCAAGUAUUGGUAGCUACUGGAAGUGCUUUCCAAACUUUCCUGCAAAUACAGAUGACUAUUUUAGGAACUGAGGGAUAUGGGCAUCCUGGCUCCCAGCUGUGUAUGGCUAACAGUGUCUCAUCUAUGUCAUAUUGCUUAGUGCUGAUAUUCUAUUCAUUUAAUUACUCAACCAGACAAGUAUUAAAUGGUGUUUCAGAAUUCUUUAUUACAAUAUAUGCUUUCCAGUAAUUAGCUCACUCAUUCUUUGAUAGCAGGGGGGGGAAAAACCCUCCCCCCAGGUAUUUCCUGCCUGUAAGAGUACACACCUCUUAGAAAUGGAUUUUGUUCUACAGCUUUUGUUGUUUCCAGUUGCAUUUGGAUUGGUCCCAAGAAGAUGUGCAAAUCUCUGUGAGUGCUCUUCAACGUACAUUUACAUUUUCCCUUGCCUUGAAGGAAAUGCACGCCGACGAUAUGUUUUUGAUUUCCUAUUUGCUUUUUAUUUCUCUGUAGUUUCCUAUUGUGACCACUUUUUAAAUGCAUUCUUUUCAGACUCUCCAUUCUGCACACAUAUGAAAUAAGUUAUUACACUUUCUUCUACCCUGGACCUAAAUUUUACAUUCAUCAUUAAUCUGGACCGUUUCCUCUUAGAUUGCAUAAGAAAAUCUACAACUCGGAGUCAUGUCUGCUCUCCUGUGGUAAUUCAAGUCUUAGAUUUAUUAUAAUUGCUAACAGUAAAUACUGUAUCCAUUUUUAGAGAAUGAUCCAAUCUGCUUGUGUUUCCUGAUCUUUCUUCUCAUUCCUUUGUUAUGAUAUGCUUUUUGCCUCCUAAUUGUUUCCAUAUGAAAUGGCCUCAGUCAAAGCGGUUGCAAUGAAUAAUGUCCAUUUCAAAAUGUCAGCGUUUUGGUCACAGCAGAUAACCACGAGCUGGUUACUCCCUGUGCACAGUAGCACUCCUUAAGGACAAGUAAUGCGUUUUGCAGUCUUCUUAAGUGAAAACCAGUAAAGAUCAAACAUAAGGCAGGUUAUUAAACGUGAAUUCUGCCCUUUCGGCCAAUAAUCUUGCUACAAUUUCUGCUUUCUGCACACCCAUAACAUUUUGCUUUCCUUUUAGUAUAGCUGAAUAGUAUUAGGAACUAACUUAGCUUCUCUCCCAUGGACUGUGUUUAAAAUGUCUUUUGUCAAAAUAACUUGAGUGGGGCGGGAUGUCCCUUAUACGCUUUCAGUACUGAGACUGCUUUAUUGAAGUAUAAAUCAGGGCCCCUUCACCAAGGCAGAAAGCUCUGCUGGUUCUGCUGCAUUUCCACAGCUCGGUACAGGGCUGGAUACACUUAACUGAGAGGUGUGAAGGAGCAUCCUGGAAGAGAUGGAAGCUAAAUAUAUUCUGCUACAAGAUUUCUUCCAUUCCUCUCUCCACCCCCAGAUCCCAGAGACAACAAUGGCUUAUGCAGGGUUUUACAUAUGCAGCUAAUGGUGGAGGGAGGAGAAUUCCCACAGAUAAAGAGCUUUAAGUCCAGUACCAGCACAGCACACAGCCUGAAAUGGUGCUGGAGCUGGUUUUGAGGGAAAGCAUGCCAAAGAGAGGUCCUGCACAAUUAUUUUUAGGAAAGGAUCCCUGGCUAUAAGGAGAUCCUUCCCUACAGUUUUGAUAUAAGCACCUGGACAAGGUGGUGAGGGGAUCGAACUUCAUGUAGACCCCCUGCGCUUAGUGUUUCCUUUUGCUUAGUCCUAAGGUCUUCCUGGUUUGGGAAGUUUAUUUUGUUUCAAACCACCCUUUGACACCCAGCUAUCUGUGUGCAUAGUCCUCCUGGGGCCAGGUACCUGAUGACACGCUUUCCAUCCCUUACGAGAGAAUCAUCUUGUUCAUGUUUAAGGAGCCCAACUCCAUAAAAGCACAAAAGAGCGAACGAGUUUCCUCUCAUUUGCCCCUGAUUUUAUGCUUAUAUAAUUCCACUAAUUUCAUUUGCAUGGGAACAGAAACAGAUCCCUAGUCUCUUGGUAGAAAUGAUUUUACAGGGCUGUUAUCCAAACCAGAAGGCCAAGCAGGAAUCUACUUCACAUGCAUAAAGCACCGCAACAGAAGCGACAUGCAUACUGGUUGUUUUAUUCCCACUCCACAUUUUUUUGCACAUUUACAUACACUGUAUAUAGUGGAAUGGGGGCAAAGGAGAAUAGCAACUGAGCAGCCCUUCCUCUACUACAGGUGAAAGGUGUCUAGCUGAAUGGUUUUGUCUCCAGGUACACAAAAGGAAAUUAAACCAUGAGAAGGGAUACCUCAGAGCUGUAAACUCCGAGGGGAAGAAAUUACUAUCAGUUUGACAGGUUUGUAAGUGAAUUACUUAUUUAUGUAGCUCAAUAGAUUUAAUAUUUUCACAGAUGAAAGACAGAAAUUAAACAUGCUUUGCAAACACAUGUGUUGCCUUCUCCGUUUACUUGAGAAUGGGUCAAGUUAAAAUUGCUGCUGGUAUGGCCACAGAUAAUCAACGGGGGAGAGCUGAAAUGAUAAACAAAUGAAAGCAAACAAAAUUGCUUUUAAAAGUUUCAAAUGAGUAUGCUGUUGGAAGUGCUAUAAAAGAUAACACAAAAGAGCCAGCUAAAAACCAUGGCUCAAGCUCAAUUUUUUGCAAGCAAUCAUAAAUCUUCACUUCAGCGGCUUUGUGCUCAUCUGGGGGCACUGGACAAGUGAAAAAAGUUGACCUCAUCAUCAUGUGAAGUUUCCUAUUCCUGUCCUAAGUUGUCAUUGGUAAAAGCAGGCAGCAAGAAUUCCAGUUGUAAACAGUCGCGUACUGCCAAUGUUUCAGCAAGGGUAACCCACAUUUUUUCCUCUCUGCAACUGUAACAGCUUGUGCCUAAGGUGCUUAGUGGCUGCAGCGGAGAAGGCUGUAGACCAGCCCUCGCUUCAUUUGCUUCUCUGGUGAAACAUAAAUGCCCUUGCUUAGCUGUAACUACAGAGGGAGAUGCCGUAAUUUGGCAAAUGGACUUUGAGAGUCAUAGGGUCUUGUUUCUGUGCAACGACUCACAGAAAUAGGAGCAAGGAGCCCUUAUCCUCUCUUGCACCCACUCCAACUGCACAGCAUGAAGACAUGUCUGCAGGUCUUGCACCCUCCUGACUUGUUCCCAGAGCUCAUGGCCCUUGUCCAGAUCAUCUUCCUGGGAGGGAGGCAGGAUGCUUGCUUUUUGGGUGGUUGACCAAGGACCAUAUGGGUGGCAUUGCAGCCCUUCCAGUGAGCAGAUAUUCCUGAAACAUGAGGUGAAAUUCAGCUCACCCCAGCUGCUAUGGGUUUGAUAUUGGUGCAGAGCCGAAGGGCCUGAUGCAGCAGGAUAAUGAGCUCCCUUCCAACACAUCUGCCAAAGGCAGCAGGCAUGUGCUUCAGCACGCAGCUCCCGCUCUUACUUGCGGGAUGGCUCCCUCAAAUUUAGUUUUAAAAAUGCAGGUAUUAGUGACUAGGUAUCUCACUACUAGCCUAACAGUUUUCCUUGGUGCAAUUAAAAAUGUGUUCAGAACGUAUAAUAGGAGUCAAAUGAAUUUUUAAAGCAUUGUGCAGACAAUGUACAUCAGGUUGAAAAAUAUAUUUGACAUCUGCUAUCCUAUGACUGCAACAGCCAUAGAGAAAAAGCUCUCGUUAAAGGAAAUCAGAAAAAAAAGCUUUGGAGCAAAUUUCAAGGAUAGUAAUCUCCCUUUGAAAUGUGUCUGUGCCACCAUCAUCUUUGAGAACCUUGAAAAUGUUUGUGCUUUUUUCCUGCUUUAUUAUCCUUAAAAGUAUCCCACACCUCCCACUCCCCACCCACCCCACCCCUGGUCUUGCCAAUAUUGUCAUUUAAGCAACCAAAGGAUCUCUUCUAAACAAUUAGAAAAAAAUGUGCUUGUACACCUGUGCAAAUACCUAUUUCCAAAAAUAACUAAAACUGCUGUUUUAUGUAUUUAUGUUAUGAUGCAUUUUGAAAUAGGACUAAAUGUUUAUUUACAUGACAGAGCACGCUAGCUCUAGUCUAUUAAGAAAAUAAUGGGCAUUAAACCUUAUACAGCAUACAAUCUACUGAAUAAAAGUAGAUUAUAUUUUAAAGAGAUCUGUGGCUUAGUGAUCUACAGUUUUAAAGCAAAACAACUCACUUAGCAGAAGAAUAACUAUUUUGGUAACAAUUUAUUUCUUUUGAUUUUAAAACUCUUUUAGGAAUUGCUUUAAACGUAAUGAAAGAUAAUGAGAGGGGACGAUAAAUUAAAGCAAGAGUGAAGAUGGAUUGUUGUGCCCUAUAGAGAAGUGUCAGUCUAAAGGCGGAUUGUCAGCUCCUUCACUCAGUCUUCUCUGUGUUGCUCAGUCGAUGUAGUGAGGCUUUCAUAUGGUCUUACCCAGCCAGUGGUGGAUCUCCUCCAAGGCAGAGGAUGUCCGCAAAGCUCAUCAAAGGAAAGAAAAAGAAGCCUUUGCAGAAUCUGAUGUCAUUGGAAUACAUUCUGCAAUUUCCUGGACUUUAUGCUGCUUCUUCCUCUGUGCUCCUGAGACCGGCAGUGGCAAACUCCAGGAACAGGACUCGGACAGAACAUGCAGUUCUCGGUACAGCCCUUCCAUAUACUUCUCAUCAAAUCUCUCAGGACCUGCUUCACAGAAAUGUUGACAUACCUAACCUCAACCGAUUCCUUGAGCCUUGGCACCUGAGUAACCCGCCCAUGCGUGAAGCUGGGUGUCACGAUGCUUUGCCUCUCUGAGCCACUGUGAAGAUAAAGGACAGACGCCAAGGAAAGGGCUCAGUAAACCAGGCCCAGCACCACGCACACGUGAGCAUUUCAAUGCCAGGGCUUAAGCUAAUGUCUCCGCAGGAGAUGGUUUUGCUCCACACAGAUGCACCAGUGCUCUGCUCUGCUCCAGAUCUGGGCGUGCGACAUACAUGCACCCUGAGCGGUGCUAUGCCACUUCUAUCCCAAAUCUAGAGCAGAUGAUGAAGUCAAGAACUUGUCUGCAGUGAUUCACGCCUCUGGAACUGUAAAGAAGUUGGGAACGUCAGAGCAAUCCCUAAAACUGAUUCAAAGGGGCACAGGGAGGAGUAAAACUGCUUGAAGCCAUCUUGAUGCCUCAUGAAUCCACGUCGAGCAUAGUGUGACCAUAGGUGGGGAUUUGCUCCUAUUUCACAUCUCAGAGGUAUGAGGAGGUGUGCAUAACAAUAAUCUUGGCAUUUAUUGCUUUCUCUGAAAAGUAUUUUGUUCAUCUAGGUAUAUAUUACAGAGAGAAGAAAUGUUAUAAGAGUUUGAAGUGAAAAUAGUUUAGAUGUGCUUGAUUUGUGGACUAUAAAUACACUUAAGCGUGUAUAUAUAUUAGGAAGCCUAAAAAAACUAGUGUAUCACAAAACAGUAACUGCAGAUUUCAAGGCUGAAGGCCAAAUUUAAGUACACCAUGUUGUUUUCUGUGUUCCCUAUGAUCAAUCACAAAGUGAGUAGAGAAGCUGAGAGGCACAGGGCUUGAUGAAGGGGUCUCUGAUUAUUGUAAGAAAUCAGGCCUUGUUCUGGGUUCCCCCACCCCCCUUUGUUCUGAAGUUUGGUAGACACGAGAUUAGUUCUGAAAAGAGAGCAGGCCCUGAGAACUGCAGUCAAUAUUCAGAGGGAAAAACUCACAGAAUUUUUGUUAAAAAUUUGUUCAUGCCAGUCCCCUCCCAAGCACAUCCUAUUUAUAUGGCCUAUAAACCAAAAAGGCUGUGAAGACCGGAGACGAAUGAAGCCUCUUCAAUGUGUGAAGUGAGUGCCGUUGCUCUAGUUUGUGUAAUAGCAGUGAUAAGUAGAUAGGUAUAAGUUUAAUAAGAUAUUGUUUAAGUACUGUAUAAAUAUCCACUAAAUAAUUCUUGCAAUAGAUAUGGAAGUAGGUAAUUUUUAUUGUAAUAUGGUAAUUUGCAUUCAAACUUAGCUCAGAAAACCCAAGACUUGGGCCUCCAAAAUUUAGUAACGUAUUUAUGGCCCCAAAAUAAGUGUUGUGCUUUUCAGAGGUGACAGGUAGGCCUGCUUUCACUGAACUCAGCCAGCAUUGUGGCUGUUUGUUGAAUUAUCAGUUGUUUAUGCCUUUGAAAAUGUAUUUGCAAGUUUGAAAAUUUUGUCUGGAGUGAUGUGCCCAAAUGCAUCUUAGGGGAAACCCUGGUAAGGCUCGAGAUCCUAGCGCUGGAUUGCUGGCCACCGGCCUUGCCCUGGCAAGCACGGCACCAGGGCGUACGUGGUCUGUAGCAGGGGAAUCUGUUCUUUUAAACAAUGCUACCGGCCAUAAGGCAUCUCUGGUGUGCAGAGCCAGGUGGGAAUUGUUCUGGACCGUUCUGGCUGCAGAGCCAGUCUCGUUUAGUAACUGUGGGUGAGGCUUUCCGGAGCACAGUGAGAUAAGGCUUGAAACGUUCUGGAGAGGCGCUCCCGGGGAUAUGCAACUCAGGUGCACCUCGGUGAAGCCCCGGGGUGACGCACCGAGACAGGCCGCUGCCAACGCCGGCCCGCGGCCCCACUUCGAGGCCUGCGGUCCAGGGCCUGCUCCAGCCGGGCCUGCCUGCCUCCCUCCGCGCCCCACCGCGGCCUGUCGGGGGGAGGCCCCGCUGCCCCCGAGCCUCUGCGGCGGCGGCCCUGCCCGCCCAGCACGCCCCGCCGCAGCGCCCGCCGCCCGCAGGCCGCGCGGCCAGCCACCGCCGCAGGCAGCGCAGCAGAACGGGGCAGGGCCCGGCGGCCGGGCAGCGAGCGGAGCGCGGCGGGGCGGGCGGCGGGGCAGGUCAGCGGCGCCCCCCCGGGGCGGGCCGGGCCGGGCCGGGCCUCGCGCACUGCGGGCGGGGGGAGGGGUAACCGCUUCC
Molecule: long non-coding RNA, 21908 nt
Organism: Falco peregrinus (peregrine falcon)
Lineage: Eukaryota; Metazoa; Chordata; Aves; Falconiformes; Falconidae
Exons: 7
Source: RefSeq, a predicted model, not a curated record